RNAcentral lists this ribosomal RNA (438 nucleotides) under Phorcus articulatus. Its description in RNAcentral is "partial 16S ribosomal RNA". It matches the Rfam family "Bacterial large subunit ribosomal RNA", at positions 2002 to 2597 of the family's 2925-position model. Lineage: Eukaryota; Metazoa; Mollusca; Gastropoda; Trochida; Trochidae. The record is from RNAcentral.
UGACGAGAGCUAUGCUGUCUCUUUCGAAAUAUUUAAAAAUUAACUUUUAGGUAAAGAGGCCUAAAUUUAUUUAAGGGACAAGAAGACCCUGUUGAGCUUUAGUGAUCCUGUAAGUUUACAAGCAGCUUAAUAACUGUUGUAUUUUUGUGUAUUUAUAUAUAACAUAAGUUUGUAGGUAAUCUUUAGUUGGGGCGACUGAGGAACAUUAAAAGCUUCCUUGAAUUUAGUAAUAAGUUAAAUUAUUUAAUUUUUUGAUGCAUUUAUGUUAAUUUUGAUCCANUUUAUUUUGAUUAAGAGAAAAAGUUACCACAGGGAUAACAGCGUANUCUUUCUGGAGAGAUCUAAUCNAAAGAAGGGUUUGCGACCUCGAUGUUGGACUAAGAUAUCCUGAGGGUGCAGAAGUUCUCAAAGGUUGGUCUGUUCCACCAUUAAAAUCUU